AGUGAACGCUGGCGGUAGGCCUAACACAUGCAAGUCGAACGGCAGCACAGAGGAGCUUGCUCCUUGGGUGGCGAGUGGCGGACGGGUGAGGAAUACAUCGGAAUCUACUCUGUCGUGGGGGAUAACGGAGGGAAACUUACGCUAAUACCGCAUACGACCUACGGGUGAAAGCAGGGGAUCUUCGGACCUUGCGCGAUUGAAUGAGCCGAUGUCGAAUUAGCUAGUUGGCGGGGUAAAGGCCCACCAAGGCGACGAUCCGUAGCUGGUCUGAGAGGAUGAUCAGCCACACUGGAACUGAGACACGAUCCAGACUCCUACGGGAGGCAGCAGUGGGGAAUAUUGGACAAUGGGCGCAAGCCUGAUCCAGCCAUACCGCGUGGGUGAAGAAGGCCUUCGGGUUGUAAAGCCCUUUUGUUGGGAAAGAAAUCCAUCUGGUUAAUACCCGGGUGGGAUGACGGUACCCAAAGAAUAAGCACCGGCUAACUUCGUGCCAGCAGCCGCCGUAA
RNAcentral lists this ribosomal RNA (506 nucleotides) under uncultured bacterium. RNAcentral's name for it is "partial 16S ribosomal RNA". It matches the Rfam family "Bacterial small subunit ribosomal RNA", at positions 29 to 523 of the family's 1533-position model. The record is from RNAcentral.